CUAUCUUAUUACUUGUGUUUAAUGUAUACUUUAUUUGUAUGUUUAUUUAGAUUACUUCUAAACUAAUUUCUUGUGUUACUAUCUUAUUAUACAGAAUUUAUGAAUACGGGAAGAGAGCCUUGCAUUGUCGACAUAUAGUGAUUUUCCAUUUGUUGUACAAGGCUACAAGCUCAGAUUUUUAACUUGUCUCACAGUCCUACUGAGAAUCUGAGAUUGAGAGCUACAUUUGGCCUAGUUGUUUGUUUGUGUUGACUGUUGCGGCUUCCCAUAACUUGGAACUCUUUUGUUAUGUGUAAUAUGUUAAAGAACUGUUGGGACUUUAGUAGUUUGGUUUAUUUUAUUUUGCUAUGAAAAUUUGGUUUGAAAGACAAUUGAUUGUGUUUUGUUUUGGGCUCUUCAGUUUGGUUUACUGUCCAAUUGUGUAAAUUUCAGAUUGUUGUUUUGUUUUGUUAAGUUCGAACAUUGUUACUAGGACUGUGCAUUUUUGAACUCAGUUGCAUUAUUAAUUUUUAUGAGUACUUAGUUCAGUCA
Nicotiana tabacum (common tobacco) is the source of this 531-nucleotide non-coding RNA. The record is from RefSeq and is a predicted model, not a curated record. Lineage: Eukaryota; Viridiplantae; Streptophyta; Magnoliopsida; Solanales; Solanaceae.